RNAcentral lists this transfer RNA (75 nucleotides) under Candidatus Falkowiibacteriota bacterium. Its description in RNAcentral is "tRNA-Glu". It matches the Rfam family "tRNA". Rfam says of the family: Transfer RNA (tRNA) molecules are approximately 80 nucleotides in length. Their secondary structure includes four short double-helical elements and three loops (D, anti-codon, and T loops). Lineage: Bacteria; Candidatus Falkowiibacteriota. The record is from RNAcentral.
GCCGCCAUCGUCUAGCCUGGUCUAGGACACAUCCCUCUCACGGAUGGAACUCGGGUUCGAAUCCCGAUGGCGGUA